This 450-nucleotide ribosomal RNA is filed under the name uncultured bacterium. RNAcentral's name for it is "partial 16S ribosomal RNA". It matches the Rfam family "Bacterial small subunit ribosomal RNA", at positions 338 to 795 of the family's 1533-position model. The record is from RNAcentral.
CCUACGGGUGGCAGCAGUAAGGAAUAUUGGUCAAUGGACGCAAGUCUGAACCAGCCAUGCCUCGUGGAGGAUGAAGGUCCUCUGGAUUGUAAACUUCUUUUAUUUGGGAAGAAACUCCCGAUUUCCAUCGGGCUUGACGGUACCAGAUGAAUAAGCACCGGCUAACUCCGUGCCAGCCGCCGCGGUAAUACGGAGGGUGCAAGCUUUAUCCGGUUUAAAUGGGUUUAAGGUGGGCAGGGAAGGCAGUGUAGAAAUCUCCGGGCUUAACCCGGAAACUGCCAUUGAUACUAUUUGUCUUGAAUACUCUGGAGGUGAGCGGAAUAUGUCAUGUAGCGGUGAAAUGCUUAGAGAUGACAUAGAACACCCAUUGCGAAGGCAGCUCACUACGGAAAUAUUGACGCUGAGGCACGAAAGCGUGGGGAUCAAACAGGAUUAGAUACCCUUGUAGUC